RNAcentral lists this non-coding RNA (25 nucleotides) under Cricetulus griseus (Chinese hamster). The record is from RNAcentral. Lineage: Eukaryota; Metazoa; Chordata; Mammalia; Rodentia; Cricetidae.
CUUCAAGAUCUGAGACUCUCACACA